Canis lupus familiaris (dog) is the source of this 1017-nucleotide non-coding RNA. The record is from the annotation of a RefSeq genome assembly. NCBI's taxonomy places the organism in Eukaryota, Metazoa, Chordata, Mammalia, Carnivora, Canidae.
AUGAGACUGCUGGCCGAGCAAGGAUUUUCUGGGACUGCAAGACAGUGGGACGGUAAACCAUGCUGGGUCCCCUUGCUGUCCUGUGUGCCCUCCUGUUUCCCGGUGGUGGAGGCAGGGCUCAAGCUUGAGCAGACUCCUGUGGUCGUGGGGCGCUUGGGCACCUCGGCCACCCUGCUGUGCACAGUGGAUAGCUCAGUCUACUACAUCCACUGGUACUUCCACAAGAAGUUUGCAGCCCCCAAGAGGCUCCUCUACCUAGACAUGUCCAGCUCAAGUGUGCAGAGGGAUACAUCUGUGAAAGCACACAAAGUCAAUGCCAAGAAAGGCAAAGACAGUUACAGCUGUAACCUGUUGGUGCAGAAGCUGGAGAAGAGCGACGAAGGCGUGUACUACUGCGCUGCCUGGGAAGAGCACAGCCACUCCUGCUGCCCUGGCCCCUGCACAAAAAGAGCUGUGGCAGACUGGCGAUUGAAGAAUCUGACCAUGCCCAUGAUGAAUGUGGUAAUAAAAUACUCUGCAAAUCAUUUCAAGGGUAAAGGACUUCCUGGAGUUUUGCCACAAAAUGGUUGAAAGCUGGGAUCUAAAGUCACCUCCUGAUUCCAUUUUCUAUGUUGCUGCCCCGCCUCCUGCUUAGUUACUUGCAGUGGAGAGUCAGGGAGCAGAAGCUCAGAAAGCUGAGGGCCUACUUUUCAGCACCCUCCUGCACUGGCAUGUCUGGGGCUCAGCUCCUGUGGGGGGAUAUGAUCCUCAUGCAGGUUAGUGCAUCAGCCCGGAUGAGUCUGGGGACCUCCACCUUCUGCUCUGAAUGAAUGUUGCUCCAUGUGGGAUUUUGGGAUCAGAUUCCCUGCACCUCUCUUCUGUCCUCUGUAAAAUGAAGUUGUGUAACUGCCACAAUUAUGUGAUGACUUCUGUAUCAAUCCAAAAAUUGUAUCAAUAAGAUAUCACUAUACUUACUUCUUAUAAUAUUAGUCAACCUCUUGACAAAAAAAUAAAAUAAAUAAAUAAAGAAGAGCUACA